UACGAAGGGGGCUAGCGUUGUUCGGAUUUACUGGGCGUAAAGCGCACGUAGGCGGAUUGUUAAGUUGGGGGUGAAAUCCUGGAGCUCAACUCCAGAACUGCCUUCAAUACUGGCAAUCUCGAGUCCGGAAGAGGUAAGUGGAACUCCUAGUGUAGAGGUGGAAUUCGUAGAUAUUAGGAAGAACACCAGUGGCGAAGGCGGCUCACUGGCUCGAUACUGACGCUGAGGUGCGAAAGCGUGGGGAGCAAACAGG
This 253-nucleotide ribosomal RNA is filed under the name uncultured bacterium. RNAcentral's name for it is "partial 16S ribosomal RNA". It matches the Rfam family "Bacterial small subunit ribosomal RNA", at positions 524 to 776 of the family's 1533-position model. The record is from RNAcentral.